ACUCGCGAAUGCUCUAGAUAGAGUUUGAUCAUGGCUCAGAUUGAACGCUGGCGGCAUGCUUUACACAUGCAAGUCGAACGGUAACAGGUCUUCGGAUGCUGACGAGUGGCGAACGGGUGAGUAAUACAUCGGAACGUGCCUAGUAGUGGGGGAUAACUACUCGAAAGAGUAGCUAAUACCGCAUGAGAUCUACGGAUGAAAGCAGGGGACCUUCGGGCCUUGUGCUACUAGAGCGGCUGAUGGCAGAUUAGGUAGUUGGUGGGGUAAAGGCUUACCAAGCCUGCGAUCUGUAGCUGGUCUGAGAGGACGACCAGCCACACUGGGACUGAGACACGGCCCAGACUCCUACGGGAGGCAGCAGUGGGGAAUUUUGGACAAUGGGCGAAAGCCUGAUCCAGCAAUGCCGCGUGCAGGAUGAAGGCCCUCGGGUUGUAAACUGCUUUUGUACGGAACGAAAAGCCUGGGGCUAAUAUCCCCGGGUCAUGACGGG
This 490-nucleotide ribosomal RNA is filed under the name uncultured bacterium. RNAcentral describes it as "bacterial SSU rRNA". It matches the Rfam family "Bacterial small subunit ribosomal RNA", at positions 1 to 476 of the family's 1533-position model. The record is from RNAcentral.